This 496-nucleotide ribosomal RNA is filed under the name uncultured bacterium. RNAcentral describes it as "partial 16S ribosomal RNA". It matches the Rfam family "Bacterial small subunit ribosomal RNA", at positions 28 to 506 of the family's 1533-position model. The record is from RNAcentral.
GAUGAACGCUGGCGGCGUGCCUAAUACAUGCAAGUCGAGCGAACAGAUGAGGAGCUUGCUCCUCUGACGUUAGCGGCGGACGGGUGAGUAACACGUGGAUAACCUACCUAUAAGACUGGGAUAACUUCGGGAAACCGGAGCUAAUACCGGAUAAUAUAUUGAACCGCAUGGUUCAAUAGUGAAAGACGGUUUUGCUGUCACUUAUAGAUGGAUCCGCGCCGCAUUAGCUAGUUGGUAAGGUAACGGCUUACCAAGGCAACGAUGCGUAGCCGACCUGAGAGGGUGAUCGGCCACACUGGAACUGAGACACGGUCCAGACUCCUACGGGAGGCAGCAGUAGGGAAUCUUCCGCAAUGGGCGAAAGCCUGACGGGGCAACGCCGCGUGAGUGAUGAAGGUCUUCGGAUCGUAAAACUCUGUUAUUAGGGAAGAACAAAUGUGUAAGUAACUAUGCACGUCUUGACGGUACCUAAGCAGAAAGCCACGGCUAACUACGU